UUCAUAACAUAUCUCUUGGCUUUCUUCGUAUCUGUAUCUAGAGCUUGCCCUGAAAAAGGCAAUAGCUCCAAGAAUUUAUCCGUGAACUCCUCUACACCCAUGUGCUCUGACUGCCUCAGUUGCUCAAACUCAAUCAUCUUCAGUUCUCUGGAACUGUCUGGAAAAGCCCAUCCCGCGAACUCAUUCGCGAAUUCCUCCCAUGUCAUGCCGUCUAGUCUCGGGUCCACAUAACACUUGAACCAUUCCCGUGCCUUCUUGCACUUUAAGGUGAACCCUGCCAUCUGAAUGGCCCUGCUAUCAUCCGCCCCUAGCUCAUCAGUUAUUGUCUUCA
RNAcentral lists this long non-coding RNA (331 nucleotides) under Manihot esculenta (cassava). RNAcentral describes it as "long non-coding RNA (MESC_LNC004016)". The record is from RNAcentral. Lineage: Eukaryota; Viridiplantae; Streptophyta; Magnoliopsida; Malpighiales; Euphorbiaceae.